CAGAAGUAGGUAGCUUAACCGCAAGGAGGGCGCUUACCACGGUAGGAUUCGUGACUGGGGUGAAGUCGUAACAAGGUAGCCGUAUCGGAAGGUGCGGCUGGAUCACCUCCUUUCUAGA
This 118-nucleotide ribosomal RNA is filed under the name Pseudoduganella ginsengisoli. RNAcentral's name for it is "partial 16S ribosomal RNA". It matches the Rfam family "Bacterial small subunit ribosomal RNA", at positions 1421 to 1533 of the family's 1533-position model. Lineage: Bacteria; Pseudomonadati; Pseudomonadota; Betaproteobacteria; Burkholderiales; Oxalobacteraceae. The record is from RNAcentral. RNAcentral also lists the same sequence under 6 other names.